ACAGAGGGUGCGAGCGUUAUCCGGAAUCACUGGGCGUAAAGGGCACGUAGGCGGUCUAUUAAGUCCGAUGUUAAAGCGUGAGGCUCAACCUCAUCACGGCGUUGGAUACUGAUAGACUUGACUUCUGGAGAGGAAAGUAGAAUUACUGGUGUAGCGGUGAAAUGCGUAGAUACCAGUAGGAAUACCCAUUGCGAAGGCAGCUUUCUGGACAGAUAGUGACGCUGAGGUGCGAAAGUGUGGGGAGCAAACCGG
This 252-nucleotide ribosomal RNA is filed under the name uncultured bacterium. Its description in RNAcentral is "partial 16S ribosomal RNA". It matches the Rfam family "Bacterial small subunit ribosomal RNA", at positions 525 to 776 of the family's 1533-position model. The record is from RNAcentral.